This 348-nucleotide ribosomal RNA is filed under the name uncultured bacterium. RNAcentral's name for it is "partial 16S ribosomal RNA". It matches the Rfam family "Bacterial small subunit ribosomal RNA", at positions 338 to 683 of the family's 1533-position model. The record is from RNAcentral.
CCUACGGUGGGCAGCAGUGAGGAAUAUUGGUCAAUGGGCGCGAGCCUGAACCAGCCAAGUCGCGUGAGGGAUGAAGGUUCUAUGGAUCGUAAACCUCUUUUAUAAGGGAAUAAAGUGUUGUACGUGUCCUAUUUUGUAUGUACCUUAUGAAUAAGGAUCGGCUAACUCCGUGCCAGCAGCCGCGGUAAUACGAAGGAUCCGAGCGUUAUCCGGAUUUAUUGGGUUUAAAGGGUGCUUAGGCGGCCUUUUAAGUCAGAGGUGAAAGUCUGUGGCUCAACCAUAGAAUUGCCGUUGAAAAUGGGGGGCUUGAGGAUGUUUGAGGCAGGCGGAAUGCGUGGUGUAGCGGUG